GAUGAACGCUAGCUACAGGCUUAACACAUGCAAGUCGAGGGGAAACGACAUCGAAAGCUUGCUUUUGAUGGGCGUCGACCGGCGCACGGGUGAGUAACGCGUAUCCAACCUGCCCAUCACUUGGGAAUAACCUUGCGAAAGUAAGACUAAUACCCAAUGACAUCCCACGAAGACAUCUGAAUGGGAUUAAAGAUUUAUCGGUGAUGGAUGGGGAUGCGUCUGAUUAGCUUGUUGGCGGGGUAACGGCCCACCAAGGCAACGAUCAGUAGGGGUUCUGAGAGGAAGGUCCCCCACAUUGGAGCUGAGACACGGUCCAAACUCCUACGGGAGGCAGCAGUGAGGAAUAUUGGUCAAUGGGCGAGAGCCUGAACCAGCCAAGUAGCGUGCAGGAGGACGGCCCUAUGGGUUGUAAACUGCUUUUAUAAGGGAAUAAAGUGGGUCUCGUGAGACUUUUUGCAUGUACCUUAUGAAUAAGAACCGGCUAAUUCCGUG
This 492-nucleotide ribosomal RNA is filed under the name uncultured bacterium. RNAcentral describes it as "partial 16S ribosomal RNA". It matches the Rfam family "Bacterial small subunit ribosomal RNA", at positions 28 to 507 of the family's 1533-position model. The record is from RNAcentral.